GACCUAGUGGCGAAGGUGGUAUCGCGUCUGCAGUCCGUGUAUGGUAUAGUAUACACAUGUAGGAAUCUCUGGUUCGAACCCAGGUUAGGUCA
This is a non-coding RNA of Mycena epipterygia, 92 nucleotides long. The record is from the annotation of a GenBank genome assembly. Lineage: Eukaryota; Fungi; Basidiomycota; Agaricomycetes; Agaricales; Mycenaceae.